Molecule: long non-coding RNA, 3454 nt
Filed under: Equus caballus (horse)
Lineage: Eukaryota; Metazoa; Chordata; Mammalia; Perissodactyla; Equidae
Description: lncRNA (ENSECAG00000053096.1)
Source: RNAcentral
GGGCAGCGUUCUGGGAGGUCACCUACGACGUGUGUGCCCUCUCUUUACACCUGAAUCCCCUGUUGAACCUCAUGAUCCAGACAACAGAGGGAGAACUCAGAAGUUGUCCAGAAAGGAGCCAUUUUUCCAAGAGACACAUGAUUUUGUGCGGGUUGAGUUCCUAGUUUUAGUGCCAGAAAAACAAAAAUUUUUAAAGGUGAAGACUCACCUUGCUGACGUGAGAUUUUCCUUGUACUAAAAGUCCUGAUCUUCAUUCUUUUAUGGUUUGGCAGGGCUGAUCUUACCGUUAGAGGAAAGAGUGUCUCAUGGUUGCAGGAGCUGAGCCAAAAACUCCACUGACCAAACCCAACACUGCUCUUCCCCAGGCACGAUGCCUGCAUUCCACGUUUGCAGAGAGUUCUCACUGUGGGUUCCACUGAUGAGUCUAGGAGCGCCCUGUUGAAAUUCAAAGUUAUCAAGUGGGGUGGGCGUGGGGAAGGAAGAGGGCAUCAAACAAUUCUCAGACAUCACUACUUGAGACAUUAGGUUAACAGAUAAUAUCCUAGAAUUUAUCUGCCAGGGUUCUAAGGUGUUAACCUCAGAACCCGUAGCUUUACUGGGAUAGGGAGCACAGAGAGGAGUUACAGAAGGCUUGUGUCAGAGGAUGCAUCUUGAUCAGAUGACAUAUUCCAUCAGGGACACCAGAACCUUUGAGGACAUCAGAGUCAGAGCUGGUGCACAAAUACAGUUGUCCUUGUGACGUGUCCACUUGAAUGACUCUCAGAGAUUUCAACCUCACAAACGAAACUGGGUCUCUUGAUUCCUCUACCAACCCCCCCUGAAACCUGUUCCACUCUGGACCUCUCCAGCUGAGACCAGGAUGCUGAUAUCCACACAGCUGCCAAGCCAGAAACCUCAUUUAAGCAUUUUUAUUCAAAUAUAGUCUACAGAGCAUAAAAAGCGUAAAAUGGAUGCAUCUGAAGCAUACAGUUCAAGAAAUUUCUACUUAUGAAUACACUUGUGAUCAUUUUCAAGAUGCCAGAAGUUUCCCUUGUGACCUUCUGAGAGUCAUUGAUUCCUCCUUUUCCAUAUCUGAAUCUUCACCAAGUCCUGACUGUUGUUCCUCCAAAAUUUAUCUUGAACUUUUUCGCUUUUCUCCACCACAAUCAUCAAUCUCUAAUAACUUCUCUCCUCACUUCCACUUUUACCAGUUCAUUACCUCUACUGAACGAUCUUUAAGAAAUCAUCACCCUGAUCAUUGCACUUCCCUUCCUCAUCAACUUCCCUUUACACUUAGAAUAAAAUGGAAACUCAUUCUUGAGUCUUACAGUGAAUGCCCUUCAAAAGUAGUCCCUUGAAACCCUCCAACCUCUGCCUCACUCUGUUUCAAGCAUCCUAAUCCCUCUUCCUGUUCCAGUUCCUGGAAAAUGCCCUGGGGCCUUUUGCAUGUGCUGUUCCUUUGGUAUGAACGAUUUUCCUCUUCUUUCUUCUUCACUCUCACCCUACUUCCACUCCACACUCAUACCCUUAAGGGUACAUUAUCUUCACAUGGUUAGUUCCUUCUCAUCCUUCUUUCUCAGAUUAAAUAUCACCUGGCCAUAAAGAUUUUUCCUGCCCCAAAUCUAAAGCACAGCUCCCCAGUUACUCUCAGAGAGUUGUGUCUUUUUCCUUUACAGCAAUUUGCGAUUUAUGUAUUUAGGAGUUGCUUUUGGUUGUAUAUUGUCUAACUUCCCUGCUAACGGAAGCUCUUAGGGAAGCUCCAAGGAUAUUAUUUCAUUCCCUCCUGCUAGCAGCUAACAAUGCACCUGGCAUACAGUAAAAGUAUUUAGAAAAUAAUUGCUGAAUGAAUGAAUAAAUCAAUGAGUGUGUACUUGUCUCUGAGAACAAUGCAAAAGGGAGAACUGAGAGGAAGCAGAGGCUGGUGUGGACAGCCCCUCUGAGGAGAAAUUAAACCUGAGGAAGGAUUUUCUUUUUCUCAAUUGAAUGCAUUUCAGAAAUGGAUCUUGGAGGAUCCUUGUUUUUCUAAGCCAAGCAUCACUCUGAGAAAAGUAAUUUCUUCCCAGGACAUCCCUGGAGAAGAAUUCAGCCAGCACAAGUCAGUUUCCCUCCUGGUUGACCCGUAUGUCCUUUGACCCCCAGCCCUUCUUAUUCCACUGGCACCAACUCUGGGAGGAUUUUGCAUACACUUCACUGGUCCGUACUGUAGUUCCUACAGAAUCAGUAGGUGAUCUGAAUCCUAGAACGCAGUGGCAGGUUGAGGGCUGGGGAUAGAAUGGAGUGGAGAGGCUUAAAAGAGAUGUGGUAGGAAAUCUUUCUGGAAAGAAGUUGAGGUUGGAUUCUAAGAGGAAGUGGUUUUGAAUUUUAAAUUUUGUUUUCUUUUUUUCUAUUGCAAUUCACUUCUGAUAGUCCCAAGCCUUAGUAAGAUUUUGUAAAUACCAUAACCUGGUGUUUGUUGCGCUUUGGAAAAUUCAGGAAGGAUAUUGAGUCAGUAUUUAGUGCGUAGGCAUAUUAGGUCGAAAGCCAGCAGCCUGGAGCAGCAUUGUGAAAUGGAAAGAGGGAUCCAGCAAAGAUGUUCAGAGCAGUAGACCAGAGCAAGAGCUGACUAAUCACUGUAUCAUGGAUUUGUCCAACACGUCACCAUUCUUUAGGAGUUGCAGAAAAACAAGGGGGAGAAGGUUGACAACCCUUGGCUGUACAGGAUAGGGCACAUUCCACAUCAGUAGGUACUAAAUAGAUGAGUGAUUCCUGAAACGCACAAAAUGUGGGGACAUUUGGGUUACAUUCCUUGGGUUGCAUGACUUAAAAUUCUCUCACUUAGACAUUCCUACCUCAAAGUAGACCUCAACUCAGAAAAAUCUAUUGUAUUUUGGGCUGAAAUCUGCCUAUUUCAAAAAGUAAAAAAAAAAAAAACUGUCUGAAUUAACUGGAUCAUCAAUCAGGUACACCUUGGACUGAGUUAACUCAAUGUUGUUUCCUCAAAAUGCCUGAUGUGAUCUAUCAACUUAGGAAAUGGGAAAUUUAAUGGAGAUGCAGGGGGACAGUGUCAUUUUGGCCUCAGUGCUUUGUCAGAGCAUGUGGGAGUGACAGGCUUGGGGCUUUUAAGAACCGGAGAGUUACCAAAAGGAACUGAAUGUUUAGGGUGUGGAGCAGUGAAAGAAGACUGGAGAAUGCGAGGUGAGGUACUGCCCAAAGAGGAAUUCUGCUGACUUUGUAGUUCUGUUUUUUGCUAUAUUCAAUCAUCUUUAAAUGAGUCAGUGGUAUAAUUGAAUGCAGUUGUUAAAAUAGCCCAAAUAAAAUCAGCCUGCCACAUUUGAAUAUUUCCAAGGAGUGGGAGAGAAAAAGGGAAGAUUUAUAGUAUGUGGCCUGCCUCCCUACAUCACUAGCGGAGCCUGCUCUACAACUUUGACUUAAGUUCUUAAUAAUAACAAUGGGGUGGUUUUGCUGGCUUUGUUAGAUAGUUAACCCAAAUGCUCUG